GAUGAACGUUGGCGGCGUGCCUAAUACAUGCAAGUCGAACGAAGACUGUAGUAAUACUGUCUUAGUGGUGAACGGGUGAGUAACGCGUGGGUGACCUGCCCCGAAGUGUGGGAUAACAGUCCGAAAGGAUUGCUAAUACUGCAUAAUAUCCAAGAGAUUAGAUGCUUUUGGAUUAAAGGAGUAAUUCGCUUCGGGAGGGGCCCGCGUCCCAUCAGCUAGUUGGUAAGGUAAUGGCUUACCAAGGCGAUGACGGGUAGGGGACCUGAGAGGGUGGCCCCCCACAAUGGAACUGAAACACGGUCCAUACACCUACGGGUGGCAGCAGUAGGGAAUAUUAGUAAUGGGCGAAAGCCUGAACUAGCAACGCCGCGUGUGCGAAGAAGGCCUUCGGGUUGUAAAGCACUUUUUGAGAGGAUGAGGAAGGACGGUACUCUCAGAAUAAGUCUCGGCUAACUACGUG
This 460-nucleotide ribosomal RNA is filed under the name uncultured bacterium. RNAcentral describes it as "bacterial SSU rRNA". It matches the Rfam family "Bacterial small subunit ribosomal RNA", at positions 28 to 507 of the family's 1533-position model. The record is from RNAcentral.